This 1837-nucleotide long non-coding RNA is filed under the name Chinchilla lanigera (long-tailed chinchilla). RNAcentral's name for it is "lncRNA (ENSCLAG00000023028.1)". The record is from RNAcentral. Lineage: Eukaryota; Metazoa; Chordata; Mammalia; Rodentia; Chinchillidae.
UUUAUUAUAGAAUGAGACAAUUUACAGGUAUAAUGCUUUGCUGAAUAUUCUUUUUUAAUGUUGUUCAUGAAAAGCGGAUGCCUUAACCCUUUAUAUUUUUAUAACAGGCACGUGAAGCACAUUUACCAUUACCACCGAACCAUGAUUUGGACAUAUUUUUCUUUCUGUGACUGGUAUUGACGGUGGUGGAGUGAAUGUGUCAGAUCCACUUAUUAGGGAUACGUUAUGUUAGGGUUAGGGUUAGGGUUAGCGCUAGGGUUAGGGUUAGGAAAUGAAUGUGUCAGAUCCACUUAUUAAAGAUGCAUGUUAGAAUUGUAAGCCGAUCUGCGUCUUAUGACAGGGUGCUGCCUGAGCAGUCCACGCGGAUGGACCACUUUUGGAAAGCACAGUUGCACAGCGCCCACUGUCCUGUUUCUGUUGUAUUUUCAGGCCACCCAAAGUGAUCUCAUUUGAUGAUUACCACAAGACCUGGUGUGGAAUAGCCACGUCGAAAGCCACGGAGUCCCACAGAAGGCCGUGUAAGUGCUUGAAGAUCCAGACCUCACUGGACAAUAUUCUAAAUGGAAGGAGAUGGAUCUACAAUAUCCUGAAGAAUGGAAGUCAAAGUUUGCUGCCACCAGGUCUCGGGGCGCCCGAGAACGCAGAGCGCCAGCCAGCACCAUCCCUUCAGGGGAGAGGACCCACCCCUGCCCUACUCCAGGACAGGCCACUUUCUCCAGCCUCAGUCUCCCAUCCUCGUGGCUUCUCCACUCCUGUGCCACCUCCGUCCCCAGCGUCCCUGCAGUCCUCACAGGUGGAGGCCAUGUUUGACCGAGGUGAUGACCUCAUGACCUCUGGCCAUGCUCUGUGACGCUGGCCCUGCCACUCAGAGCUGCCUGCCGUCACAGGCGUCCCUGUUCCUCAGCAACACCUCCUCCCCUCACCCCCAAAUGCCACACUGAGCCCUGGCUCACCUCUGCGCCAGAGAAGUGCGGGAGGUACACAGUGGCCCGAGAGCCCGAGAGCCCUGUACCGUGCGCCCUCGCCUUUCCUUCCUGCACCCAGGUGCCCUGAGCCUCAGCACAGACUGAUGUCCCCGACCUGAACAGCCCGACUCUGAAAGGCUCCGAACCCAAAACGCUCUGGUGCUGACAGAUGCCACAAGUGGGAAAUUCCACACCACCAAACUGUUGCAUGCACAAAGCUGUUAAAAACAUUGUAUAAGAACCACCCUCAGGCUAUGUGUGUAAGGUGUACAUGAAGAACAAAUCAAUUUUGUACUUACGCUUGGCUCCUGCCUCAGAAAUCUUUCUCUCUCUCUGUCUCUCUCUGUCUCUGUCUCAGUCUCUGUUGCAGUUUCUGUCUCUCUCUCUCUCAAUAUCUGGAAAAAUCUACAAUCCAAAACACUUCUCAGGCAUUUCAGAUAAGCAGAUUCCCACCUGAGCGGCAUGUGGCUGGACACAUCUAGAAUCCCAGCACUCUGGGAGGCGGAGAGAGGAGGAUCACACGGCUGGAAACUUUAGUAAGACCCUAUCUCAAAGUUAAAAAGAAAAGAAAUUAUAAUAAUAGUAAAGGGCUGGGCAUGUAACUCAGCGCAAAGGCCUGGGUUCAGUCCCCAGGGCCACCCCUGUGGGUUACCCUAGCGCUUCUGUCAUGGUGGUGUGCUGUUAGUUUUCUGUUGCUAGGUGACACACUGCCCUACAUGGAAUGACUUAAAACAACACACACAUCUUGCUUCCUAUUUCUCGGGCCUUGGAGCCCAGACCCAGCUUAGCUUGGGCUCUGUGCAGGGUCUCAGGCUGCAAUGAGGGUUCAGCUGGGAGCUGGGCCUGGGAGAAGCUGCUUCCAGACCCAGUAG